This 444-nucleotide ribosomal RNA is filed under the name uncultured bacterium. Its description in RNAcentral is "partial 16S ribosomal RNA". It matches the Rfam family "Bacterial small subunit ribosomal RNA", at positions 354 to 796 of the family's 1533-position model. The record is from RNAcentral.
GUAGGGAAUAUUGGGCAAUGGUCGGAAGACUGACCCAGCCAUGCCGCGUGCAGGAAGACGGCCCUCUGGGUUGUAAACUGCUUUUAUCUGGGAAGAAAAAGGCCAUGCGUGGCAAAUUGCCGGUACCAGAUGAAUAAGCACCGGCUAACUCCGUGCCAGCAGCCGCGGUAAUACGGAGGGUGCGAGCGUUGUCCGGAUGUAUUGGGUGUAAAGGGUGCGUAGGCGGCUGCUUAAGUCAGCGGUGAAAGACUUCGGCUUAACCGGAGCAGUGCCGUUGAUACUGGUUGGCUUGAGUGUCGGAGGGGUACAUGGAAUUGAUGGUGUAGCGGUGAAAUGCAUAGAUACCAUCAGGAACACCGAUAGCGAAGGCAUUGUACUGGCCGACAACUGACGCUGAUGCACGAAAGUGUGGGGAUCGAACAGGAUUAGAAACCCGGGUAGUCC